Molecule: small RNA, 64 nt
Filed under: Halobacillus alkaliphilus
Lineage: Bacteria; Bacillati; Bacillota; Bacilli; Caryophanales; Bacillaceae
Description: Bacillaceae-1 RNA
Rfam family: Bacillaceae-1 RNA
Source: RNAcentral
CGUAAAAGAUCCGACUAUGAACGCCACGACGUGUGGCAACGUCGAAGACCCUGCGUCGUGCAGG